This 460-nucleotide ribosomal RNA is filed under the name uncultured bacterium. Its description in RNAcentral is "partial 16S ribosomal RNA". It matches the Rfam family "Bacterial small subunit ribosomal RNA", at positions 338 to 795 of the family's 1533-position model. The record is from RNAcentral.
CCUACGGGUGGCAGCAGUGAGGAAUAUUGGUCAAUGGGCGUACGCCUGAACCAGCCAAGUCGCGUGAGGGAAGACUGCCCUAUGGGUUGUAAACCUCUUUUGUCAGGGAGCAACGCCGGCUACGUGUAGCCGGACUGAGAGUACCUGAAGAAAAAGCAUCGGCUAACUCCGUGCCAGCAGCCGCGGUAAUACGGAGGAUGCGAGCGUUAUCCGGAUUUAUUGGGUUUAAAGGGUGCGUAGGCGGGCUUUCAAGUCAGCGGUAAAAUUGCGGGGCUCAACCUCGCCCCGCCGUUGAAACUGGCGGUCUUGAGUGGGCGAGAAGUAGGCGGAAUGCGUGGUGUAGCGGUGAAAUGCAUAGAUAUCACGCAGAACUCCGAUUGCGAAGGCAGCAUACCGGCGCCCAACUGACGCUGAGGCACGAAAGUGUGGGUAUCGAACAGGAUUAGAUACCCCAGUAGUC